RNAcentral lists this ribosomal RNA (834 nucleotides) under Ectopseudomonas mendocina. Its description in RNAcentral is "bacterial SSU rRNA". It matches the Rfam family "Bacterial small subunit ribosomal RNA", at positions 22 to 857 of the family's 1533-position model. The record is from RNAcentral. Lineage: Bacteria; Pseudomonadati; Pseudomonadota; Gammaproteobacteria; Pseudomonadales; Pseudomonadaceae.
GCUCAGAUUGAACGCUGGCGGCAGGCCUAACACAUGCAAGUCGAGCGGAUGAGAGGAGCUUGCUCCUUGAUUAGCGGCGGACGGGUGAGUAAUGCCUAGGAAUCUGCCUGGUAGUGGGGGAUAACGUUCCGAAAGGAACGCUAAUACCGCGUACGUCCUACGGGAGAAAGCAGGGGACCUUCGGGCCUUGCGCUAUCAGUGAGCCUAGGUCGGAUUAGCUAGUUGGUGAGGUAAUGGCUCACCAAGGCGACGAUCCGUAACUGGUCUGAGAGGAUGAUCAGUCACACUGGAACUGAGACACGGUCCAGACUCCUACGGGAGGCAGCGUGGGGAAUAUUGGACAAUGGGCGAAAGCCUGAUCCAGCCAUGCCGCGUGUGUGAAGAAGGUCUUCGGAUUGUAAAGCACUUUAAGUUGGGAGGAAGGGCAGUAAGUUAAUACCUUGCUGUUUUGACUUACCGACAGAAUAAGCACCGGCUAACUUCGUGCCAGCAGCCGCGGUAAUACGAAGGGUGCAAGCGUUAAUCGGAAUUACUGGGCGUAAAGCGCGCGUAGGUGGUUCGUUAAGUUGGAUGUGAAAGCCCGGGCUCAACCUGGGAACUGCAUCCAAAACUGGCGAGCUAGAGUACGGUAGAGGGUGGUGGAAUUUCCUGUGUAGCGGUGAAAUGCGUAGAUAUAGGAAGGAACACCAGUGGCGAAGGCGACCACCGGACUGAUACUGACACUGAGGUGCGAAAGCGUGGGGAGCAAACAGGAUUAGAUACCCUGGUAGUCCACGCCGUAAACGAUGUCAACUAGCCGUUGGAAUCCUUGAGAUUUUAGUGGCGCAGCUAACG